AGUCGAACGGCAGCAUGAUCUAGCUUGCUAGAUUGAUGGCGAGUGGCGAACGGGUGAGUAAUACAUCGGAACGUGCCCUGUAGUGGGGGAUAACUAGUCGAAAGAUUAGCUAAUACCGCAUACGACCUGAGGGUGAAAGUGGGGGACCGCAAGGCCUCAUGCUAUAGGAGCGGCCGAUGUCUGAUUAGCUAGUUGGUGAGGUAAAGGCUCACCAAGGCGACGAUCAGUAGCUGGUCUGAGAGGACGAUCAGCCACACUGGGACUGAGACACGGCCCAGACUCCUACGGUAGGCAGCAGUGGGGAAUUUUGAACAAUGGGCGAAAGCCUGAUCCAGCAAUGCCGCGUGUGUGAAGAAGGCCUUCGGGUUGUAAAGCACUUUUGUCCGGAAAGAAAUGGCUCUGGUUAAUACCUGGGGUCGAUGACGGUACCGGAAGAAUAAGGACCGGCUAACUACGUGCCAGCAGCCGCGGUAAUACGUAGGGUCCAAGCGUUAAUCGGAAUUACUGGGCGUAAAGCGUGCGCAGGCGGUUGUGCAAGACCGAUGUGAAAUCCCCGAGCUUAACUUGGGAAUUGCAUUGGUGACUGCACGGCUAGAGUGUGUCAGAGGGGGGUAGAAUUCCACGUGUAGCAGUGAAAUGCGUAGAGAUGUGGAGGAAUACCGAUGGCGAAGGCAGCCCCCUGGGAUAACACUGACGCUCAUGCACGAAAGCGUG
This 714-nucleotide ribosomal RNA is filed under the name uncultured Ralstonia sp. RNAcentral's name for it is "bacterial SSU rRNA". It matches the Rfam family "Bacterial small subunit ribosomal RNA", at positions 60 to 763 of the family's 1533-position model. Lineage: Bacteria; Pseudomonadati; Pseudomonadota; Betaproteobacteria; Burkholderiales; Burkholderiaceae. The record is from RNAcentral.